Molecule: ribosomal RNA, 439 nt
Filed under: uncultured bacterium
Lineage: Bacteria
Description: partial 16S ribosomal RNA
Rfam family: Bacterial small subunit ribosomal RNA
Source: RNAcentral
CUACGGGUCGCUCCAGUGGGGAAUAUUGCACAAUGGAGGAAACCCUGAUGCAGCAACGCCGCGUGGAGGAUGACGCAUUUCGGUGUGUAAACUCCUUUUAUAUGUCAAGAAAAUGACGGUAGCAUAUGAAUAAGCACCGGCUAACUCCGUGCCAGCAGCCGCGGUAAUACGGAGGGUGCAAGCGUUACUCGGAAUCACUGGGCGUAAAGGACGCGUAGGCGGGUUGGAAAGUCAGGUGUGAAAUCCUACAGCUUAACUGUAGAACUGCAUUUGAAACUUCUAAUCUAGAGUAUGGGAGGGGGAGAUGGAAUUAGUGGUGUAGGGGUAAAAUCCGUAGAUAUCACUAGGAAUACCUAAAGCGAAGGCGAUCUCCUGGAACAUUACUGACGCUAAGGCGUGAAAGCGUGGGGAGCAAACAGGAUUAGAUACCCCUGUAGUC